UAGGGAAUCUUCCGCAAUGGGCGAAAGCCUGACGGAGCAACGCCGCGUGAGUGAUGAAGGUCUUCGGAUCGUAAAACUCUGUUAUUAGGGAAGAACAAAUGUGUAAGUAACUAUGCACGUCUUGACGGUACCUAAUCAGAAAGCCACGGCUAACUACGUGCCAGCAGCCGCGGUAAUACGUAGGUGGCAAACGUUAUCCGGAAUUAUUGGGCGUAAAGCGCGCGUAGGCGGUUUUUUAAGUCUGAUGUGAAAGCCCACGGCUCAACCGUGGAGGGUCAUUGGAAACUGGAAAACUUGAGUGCAGAAGAGGAAAGUGGAAUUCCAUGUGUAGCGGUGAAAUGCGCAGAGAUAUGGAGGAACACCAGUGGCGAAGGCGACUUUCUGGUCUGUAACUGACGCUGAUGUGCGAAAGCGUGGGGAUCAAACAGG
RNAcentral lists this ribosomal RNA (429 nucleotides) under Actinomycetes bacterium. RNAcentral's name for it is "Actinobacteria bacterium partial 16S ribosomal RNA". It matches the Rfam family "Bacterial small subunit ribosomal RNA", at positions 355 to 776 of the family's 1533-position model. The record is from RNAcentral. Lineage: Bacteria; Bacillati; Actinomycetota; Actinomycetes.